Molecule: long non-coding RNA, 548 nt
Organism: Eptesicus fuscus (big brown bat)
Lineage: Eukaryota; Metazoa; Chordata; Mammalia; Chiroptera; Vespertilionidae
Exons: 4
Source: RefSeq, a predicted model, not a curated record
GAGCAGCAUCAGCAAAGCCACACAGAAGAGGUCCAGGUGGAAGCCAGCUCCCUUCUGCAGGCGCCGACUGGGAGCCAACUUCAUGGCGCCCUGCCCCCUGGUGGCUGCUUGUAUCCCUGCGGGCAGACUCCAAAUUCAAAGACUCACCACUGGGAGCAGUAGACAGGCCAAGGAGUAAUACGGAUCCAGGUGGACUGGGAGGAGCAGCCACUGCUGGCUUUGAGCUCUUGCUAUGUUCUAAGCAUCUCGCAGGUUAUCUCAGUGAGUCUUCACAAUGGCUCUUCAAGAAAAGAUUUAAAGAUAACAAGAGGCAUAGAUAGAAGUAAAAUCUUAAAGAAUGAUUAAAUACACCCAUAAUGAAAUCAAAUUGGAGAAGAAAGAAAUGAUGGUCUUCAAAAUGCUGGGCUAGGAAUAAUCACCGCAAAUGAGCACUGAAACUUAACUGUGAUCUUCCUGGCAGUGAAUUCAUCAAGGGAACACAAGAAUUCCACACCUGUCAUUUGUUAAUAAAAGGAAGUGCCUAUAUCAGAUAGGCAUGAGUCAAACUU